UUUACCUGUCCAUGGCCAGAUGUUCUGGACAGCAGAAAGCCACACUGGGAAAAAGACUGAGGAAGAAAGGACAGGAUCAGAAAACAAUGCCAGGAGAUAGAUAGAUAACAGCUUGAAGACAUGGUGCACGAAGAACUGCUGAAGGUGCUCAUUGGCAAUGUUAAUGCAGAGCUGCUCAAAGCUUUUGGGGGACAAGAUGGGAACCCACAGUCAUCCUUGGCCAGUGCUGCACUGAUUUAUGGUUCAAUGUAGCUGCUGUAGCUGUAUGAUGGGAAAGGCAACAAAAGGCCUCCAUGCAGGAGACAGAUUCCUGGGCCUCCUGCUGCGGUUCCAUAUCCGAAUCAGAGAUAAGUCAUGGCAACUAAUAGCUGGGGGUAAUGUGCGUUUAUUCACAUUACAUAGCUGUGUUUUAUUAUUAGCCUCCUUACCUGAGGGUUUUGUUAAGUUUUACAGCAGAAAUGAAGAUACAGAUGCAGAAAUACAGCAUAGGUCCUUCAGGGCUUGGAGACUUUCAGAGGGAGGCAAAAAAUCAGCAGGCAGUGAAGAGAGCUUUCUUAAUGUUUCUAUCUGUGCAAAUCAUUCUUACUCAAGGAUUUUGCCUCAAAGUAAUUCUUUAGCAAACUUAUUUCUGACACAAGAGUUUUUAGAAGUCUAUAUGUUGUGUGGGAUUAACAAAAUUUCAAGUACUAAUUUUGUUAGAUGAAGGUCAAAUAUUGGCAAAUAAAUCAAAGUGCAUACUUUUAUGUUAUCAAGGCAGAUAUCUAAACCCAGAGCUUUUUGUGUAAUGAGACU
Pezoporus flaviventris is the source of this 792-nucleotide long non-coding RNA. RefSeq lists it as uncharacterized. Lineage: Eukaryota; Metazoa; Chordata; Aves; Psittaciformes; Psittacidae. The transcript is spliced from 3 exons. The record is from RefSeq and is a predicted model, not a curated record.